This is a long non-coding RNA of Daphnia magna, 940 nucleotides long. RefSeq lists it as uncharacterized. The transcript has 3 exons. The record is from RefSeq and is a predicted model, not a curated record. Lineage: Eukaryota; Metazoa; Arthropoda; Branchiopoda; Diplostraca; Daphniidae.
CACUGGUCGCAGGUGUAUCCAAUACACGUUGAUUCAAGCCGCAUCCUAUUCUCUCAUUCUAAGUUCAUCACAAUUUUGGAAUGUGAAAUAGAGACGAGAUUUUUUCUCAGGUUGGCACUGGGCGACGUAAUAGAAAGGCAGUGACUAUCAGAUUUGGUCUCGCUGCAAAACCGGGAAAUGCAGCACAGAAAAAAUACCAACACUACUAUUCUGCCAACUAUCGAUCUCAGAUACUCGGCAGCAAUGACAUUAUUGCACUUAACAUUUUGCAUUGGAAAAGGUCUUCGACGAUCGAUACAUGAAUCCCAGGAUACCAAUUACCGGGAAUCGGGAGCAUGAGGUAUUAUAUUAUAAUAAUACCCAUGAGAUAUUAUUAUAAGAUAAAAACCAAAAUUGUCUAUGCAAAUUGUGCGUUUUUCGGCUUUACCUGUGAUGCGGUCACCGAAACAUUCGAAAGAUACACCUUAUCCCUGAGAUAUUUCCGUUAGUAAAUUAGAAGGCUAUUCCCUGGUUCAUUUUUCUCUUUUGGGGAUCGAGCCGUGCAGUGAUUGGCUGGAAAUCAGGAAGAGUAGGGGAGAACGGGGUCCCGCUGGACACGUACCAGGUUGGACAAGCUCAAUAACUGACGGUGGGGAUGAGGAAAAAAAAUAAAAAUAGUGUGAAAUGAAGAAUUUCAUAACAACUACAGGGUAUAAGUUUAAGUAAAAUCCUGCAAAUAGUUUUUGAGUUAUAGCAAUAAUAAAAAAAUUGCGGUCUAAUUUUAUGUUUGUCAUUGCCAUAUUUUUUUGUAUCACUAAACAACCUGUACGGUUUAAAAAAAUUUUAUUGUUGAAUAAAAUACUUUAUUCAUUCUGUUUUCAUGUGGUGUUAAAAUGUUAUUGUUACGGUUAAUCGUUUAAGAAUAAUAAUGAUUUAGAAAAAUGUCUUUGCUGCGGGUAAU